RNAcentral lists this ribosomal RNA (443 nucleotides) under uncultured bacterium. RNAcentral describes it as "partial 16S ribosomal RNA". It matches the Rfam family "Bacterial small subunit ribosomal RNA", at positions 338 to 795 of the family's 1533-position model. The record is from RNAcentral.
CCUACGGGAGGCAGCAGUGGGGAAUAUUGGGCAAUGGGCGCAAGCCUGACGCAGCAACGCCGCGUGAAGGAAGAAUGUUUUCGGAUUGUAAACUUCUGUUCUGAGGGACGAAGAAAGUGACGGUACCUCAGGAAUAAGCCACGGCUAACUACGUGCCAGCAGCCGCGGUAAUACGUAGGUGGCACGCGUUAUCCGGAUUUAUGGGGUGUAAAGGGCGUGUAGGCGGGAAGGCAAGUCAGAGGUGAAAUCUCAGGGCUCAAACGUGAGACUGCAUUUGAAACUGUUUUUCUUGAGUGCUGGAGAGGCAAGCGGAAUUCCGGGUGUAGCGGUGAAAUGCGUAGAUAUACGGAGGAACAUCAGUGGCGAAGGCGGAUAGCUGGAACGUAACUGACGCUGAGGCGCGAAAGCGUGGGGAGCAAACAGGAUUAGAUACCCGGGUAGUC